UGAUUAGUGACUUCAGCAGCGUCGGGUAUGCACAAGUAAUUCUUGAUGGGCCAUCGGUGGUAAUUGUAUUAUAGGUAUAUGAGUCUUGCAAAGACAGCGGAGAUGCCCUGAGGCAAGGUGGAUCCAGAGGAGACAAAGAGGAAACACAAUAAAUUAGUUCUGUAGUAUUCUGACAAUGCAAAUUCCGAAAUUUGAUUUCAGUAAGCUGAAUAACGGGAAGAAUGGGUUUACACAUGAAGAAGCAUCCCCAAUUUCUGAUAAAAUUGUAUUUGAUAAGGUAAAGCAGGGUUUAGGAGGUAGAGUUCGUCUGAUUUUGUCUGGAGCAGCACCUUUAUCUGCACAUCUGGAAGGUUACUUACGGGUGGCGACUUGCUGUCAUGUCCUAUGAGGAUAUGGAAGCUGCAAGCAAUGAUAAUGGAAAAGCACCACAUUCAUAAGUUAUUUGUGGUCACUCCAUUGCUUUGUGCUUAGUUGGCCUUGGCACAAAACUUUUCCUUUUUUCCAAAAGCCUCAUCCCAGAUCAAAGAUAAGGCCACUGGUGGACCUGAUAAAGGAUAUUAUAAAAGAGAGUAAUAUAGUUUAUUCUUGGCACGAUUUUAUAUCUAAAAUGAUGCACGUGCUUUUCUAGAAGAGAUCCCGUGUUUGCUUUUGAUGUUCAAACCCCAAAAAAUAUUCAAGCUGCUCUUUACGCUAAGUGGUUUGGUUCUUUCAUUCUUCUCGAAGCUAGUCGAUGGAUCUGUUGGUGCAAGCGAGUCAGUAAACUUGGGUGGUUAUGGAGGGAAACUUGUUUUAAAGAAUAUGAAAUAUAAGACCAUGGACGACGGUACAAUUAAAAAAGGUUUGACACCUAAGAACAUUACAGCGUGUGCAUCCCCUUUUUCACAUGAGAAGACGACACCCGGAAGGAGUCCAAGCACUAAAAGAAAAGGAUUGCCCAAAUUAUGGUCAGUUCACUGUAUUUCAUUGGGGAGUUUUUAUAAAACAUUUUGGUAUAAACAGUGACCUUGAAAUCUGUCAAUCUGAUUCAAUUGACUGGUUAUUUUUGUUUUCUUUAUCUGUUCUAGAGCUGUGCUAGGUUCUUUUUACUCUAUGGACCUUUAAUUGUUUGAUUGUAUUUCUUGGAAUUUUGGUUUUUUCCUUAAAAUGUAAAAAAAAAAAAUUGUUCCUGCUGUGUC
Molecule: RNA transcript, 1175 nt
Organism: Vigna radiata var. radiata (mung bean)
Lineage: Eukaryota; Viridiplantae; Streptophyta; Magnoliopsida; Fabales; Fabaceae
Exons: 9
Source: RefSeq, a predicted model, not a curated record